GGAUGCAGCAGUGGGGAAUAUUGCACAAUGGGCGAAAGCCUGAUGCAGCGACGCCGCGUGAGGGAUGGAGGCCUUCGGGUUGUAAACCUCUUUCGCUCAUGGUCAAGCCGCAACAAUGGUUGUGGUGAGGGUAGUGGGUAAAGAAGCGCCGGCUAACUACGUGCCAGCAGCCGCGGUAAUACGUAGGGCGCGAGCGUUGUCCGGAAUUAUUGGGCGUAAAGGGCUUGUAGGCGGUUGGUCGCGUCUGCCGUGAAAUCCUCUGGCUUAACUGGGGGCGUGCGGUGGGUACGGGCUGACUUGAGUGCGGUAGGGGAGACUGGAACUCCUGGUGUAGCGGUGGAAUGCGCAGAUAUCAGGAAGAACACCGGUGGCGAAGGCGGGUCUCUGGGCCGUUUCUGACGCUGAGGAGCGAAAGCGUGGGGAGCGAACAGGAUUAGAUACCCUGGUAGUCCACGCUGUAAACGUUGGGCACUAGGUGUGGGGGCCACCUGUGGUUUCUGCGCCGUAGCUAACGCUUUAAGUGCCCCGCCUGGGGAGUACGGCCGCAAGGCUAAAACUCAAAGGAAUUGACGGGGGCCCGCACAAGCGGCGGAGCAUGCGGAUUAAUUCGAUGCAACGCGAAGAACCUUACCAAGGCUUGACAUGCACGGCGGCACUGCAGAGAUGUGGUGGCAUUUAGUUGGUCGUGUGCAGGUGGUGCAUGGUUGUCGUCAGCUCGUGUCGUGAGAUGUUGGGUUAAGCCCCGCAACGAGCGCAACCCUUGCCCUAUGUUGCCAGCACGUGAUGGUGGGGACUCGUGGGGGACUGCCGGGGUUAACUCGGGGGAAGGUGGGGAUGACGUCAAAUCAUCAUGCCCCUUAUGUCUUGGGCUUCACGCAUGCUACAAUGGUUGGUACAGAGGGUUGCGAUACUGUGAGGUGGAGCGAAUCCCUUAAAGCCAGUCUCAGUUCGGAUUGGGGUCUGCGACUCGACCCCAUGAAGGUGGAGUCGCUAGUAAUCGCAGAUCAGCAACGCUGC
This 1017-nucleotide ribosomal RNA is filed under the name uncultured Actinomyces sp. RNAcentral describes it as "bacterial SSU rRNA". It matches the Rfam family "Bacterial small subunit ribosomal RNA", at positions 344 to 1360 of the family's 1533-position model. Lineage: Bacteria; Bacillati; Actinomycetota; Actinomycetes; Actinomycetales; Actinomycetaceae. The record is from RNAcentral.